GUAAAGAGCAUGUAGGCGGCUUAAUAAGUCGAGCGUGAAAAUGCGGGGCUCAACCCCGUAUGGCGCUGGAAACUGUUAGGCUUGAGUGCAGGAGAGGAAAGGGGAAUUCCCAGUGUAGCGGUGAAAUACGUAGAUAUUGGGAGGAACACCAGUGGCGAAGGCGCCUUUCUGGACUGUGUCUGACGCUGAGAUGCGAAAGCCAGGGUAGCGAACGGGAUUAGAUACCCCGGUAGUCCUGGCCGUAAACGAUGGGUACUAGGUGUAGGAGGUAUCGACCCCUUC
This 282-nucleotide ribosomal RNA is filed under the name uncultured bacterium. RNAcentral's name for it is "partial 16S ribosomal RNA". It matches the Rfam family "Bacterial small subunit ribosomal RNA", at positions 560 to 841 of the family's 1533-position model. The record is from RNAcentral.